Molecule: ribosomal RNA, 460 nt
Filed under: uncultured bacterium
Lineage: Bacteria
Description: partial 16S ribosomal RNA
Rfam family: Bacterial small subunit ribosomal RNA
Source: RNAcentral
CCUACGGGAGGCAGCAGUGAGGAAUCUUGGUCAAUGGACGCAAGUCUGAACCAGCCAUGCCGCGUGCAGGAAGACGGCUCUAUGAGUUGUAAACUGCUUUUGUACGAGGGUAAACGCAGAUACGUGUAUCUGUCUGAAAGUAUCGUACGAAUAAGGAUCGGCGAACUCCGUGCCAGCAGCCGCGGUAAUACGGAGGAUUCAAGCGUUAUCCGGAUUUAUUGGGUUUAAAGGGUGCGUAGGCGGUCGGAUAAGUUAGAGGUGAAAUCCCGAGGCUCAACUUCGGAAUUGCCGCUGAUACUGUUCGGCUAGAGAGAAGUUGCGGUAGGCGGAAUGUAUGGUGUAGCAGUGAAAUGCUUAGAGAUCAUACAGAACACCGAUUGCGAAGGCAGCUUACCAAGCUACUUCUGACGUUGAGGCACGAAAGCGUGGGGAGCAAACAGGAUUAGAUACCCCAGUAGUC